Molecule: ribosomal RNA, 253 nt
Filed under: uncultured bacterium
Lineage: Bacteria
Description: partial 16S ribosomal RNA
Rfam family: Bacterial small subunit ribosomal RNA
Source: RNAcentral
UACGUAGGGUGCAAGCGUUAAUCGGAAUUACUGGGCGUAAGCGUGCGCAGGCGGUUUUGUAAGUCUGUCGUGAAAGCCCCGGGCUCAACCUGGGAAUUGCGAUGGAGACUGCAAGGCUUGAAUCUGGCAGAGGGGGGUAGAAUUCCACGUGUAGCAGUGAAAUGGCGUAGAGAUGUGGAGGAACACCGAUGGCGAAGGCAGCCCCCUGGGUCAAGUUGACGCCUCAUGCACGAAAGCGUGGGGAGCAAACAGG